UUCCAGUCUCCAUGGUGGUCAUACUUCUU
This 29-nucleotide non-coding RNA is filed under the name Rattus norvegicus (Norway rat). Lineage: Eukaryota; Metazoa; Chordata; Mammalia; Rodentia; Muridae. The record is from RNAcentral.